AAAAGAAGAGUUAUGUAGGGUUGGGCGGUAUCCAAAUUUUGAUACCGUCAAACCUCCUCCCUAUUUUACCGCGGUAUACGGUAUUACCGUGACUAAUUAAAAACGAUGACGUAAGGCUCAGACGGCGUCACCAAACUGUUGGCUUGUGCACCGUUCAGAAACUGAAUACCAAACACUAAUACUGAAACAAUAAUAACAUAACUUACA
This is a long non-coding RNA of Sander lucioperca (pikeperch), 207 nucleotides long. RefSeq lists it as uncharacterized. The transcript is spliced from 3 exons. NCBI's taxonomy places the organism in Eukaryota, Metazoa, Chordata, Actinopteri, Perciformes, Percidae. The record is from RefSeq and is a predicted model, not a curated record.